AUGAACGCUGGCGGCGUGCCUCAUACAUGCAAGUCGAGCGAACAGACGAGGAGCUUGCUCCUCUGACGUUCGCGGCGGACGGGUGAGUAACACGUGGAUAACCUACCUAUAAGACUGGGAUAACUUCGGGAAACCGGAGCUAAUACCGGAUAAUAUAUUGAACCGCAUGGUUCAAUAGUGAAAGACGGUUUUGCUGUCACUUAUAGAUGGAUCCGCGCCGCAUUAGCUAGUUGGUAAGGUAACGGCUUACCAAGGCAACGAUGCGUAGCCGACCUGAGAGGGUGAUCGGCCACACUGGAACUGAGACACGGUCCAGACUCCUACGGGAGGCAGCAGUAGGGAAUCUUCCGCAAUGGGCGAAAGCCUGACGGAGCAACGCCGCGUGAGUGAUGAAGGUCUUCGGAUCGUAAAACUCUGUUAUUAGGGAAGAACAAAUGUGUAAGUAACUAUGCACGUCUUGACGGUACCUAACCAGAAAGCCACGGCUAACUACGUG
RNAcentral lists this ribosomal RNA (496 nucleotides) under uncultured bacterium. RNAcentral describes it as "partial 16S ribosomal RNA". It matches the Rfam family "Bacterial small subunit ribosomal RNA", at positions 29 to 507 of the family's 1533-position model. The record is from RNAcentral.